This is a long non-coding RNA of Lemur catta (Ring-tailed lemur), 193 nucleotides long. RefSeq lists it as uncharacterized. The transcript is spliced from 3 exons. The record is from RefSeq and is a predicted model, not a curated record. Lineage: Eukaryota; Metazoa; Chordata; Mammalia; Primates; Lemuridae.
GGACACUCUAGAGCAAACUUUUUCUUUUAGGUGUAAAAUUCACCUGGAAUUGAUUCUAUAUUUUGGUAUGGUAUGAGGUCUCUACAUGAAUGUCAUCUGCUCAGAGAAGCUUGCCUCAACCAAAAUAUCAUCAUUGUUUCUUAUAUCCCCAGAGCCUAAAAGAAUUCUGAAUAAAUACUUGCCCUUCAAAAUA